This is a microRNA precursor of Oryza sativa Indica Group (long-grained rice), 204 nucleotides long. It matches the Rfam family "MIR812 microRNA precursor family". NCBI's taxonomy places the organism in Eukaryota, Viridiplantae, Streptophyta, Magnoliopsida, Poales, Poaceae. The record is from Rfam.
AAUAAGCGUAGUCAUGAGUUUCCGCGUCUAAUUUUGGUCAUCCGUCUUAUUUAAAUUUUUUUUAUAAUUUGUAUUUUUGUUGCUAUGAGAUGAUAAAACAUGAAUAGUAUUUUACUCGUGACUUAUGUUUUUAAUUUUUUUAAAAAAAAUUCAAAUAAAACAAACGGUUAAAGUUCGGCAUGAAAAACCAUGGCUGCACUUAUU